UACGUAGGUGGCAAGCGUUGUCCGGAAUUAUUGGGCGUAAAGCGCGCGCAGGCGGUCCUUUAAGUCUGAUGUGAAAUCACGUGGCUCAACCACGUGCGGUCAUUGGAAACUGGAGGACUUGAGUGCAGAAGAGGAAAGUGGAAUUCCAAGUGUAGCGGUGAAAUGCGUAGAGAUUUGGAGGAACACCAGUGGCGAAGGCGACUUUCUGGUCUGUAACUGACGCUGAGGCGCGAAAGCGCGGGGAUCAAACAGG
RNAcentral lists this ribosomal RNA (253 nucleotides) under uncultured bacterium. Its description in RNAcentral is "partial 16S ribosomal RNA". It matches the Rfam family "Bacterial small subunit ribosomal RNA", at positions 524 to 776 of the family's 1533-position model. The record is from RNAcentral.